This is a small nucleolar RNA of Suncus etruscus (white-toothed pygmy shrew), 205 nucleotides long. RefSeq annotates it as small nucleolar RNA U3. The transcript has a single exon. Lineage: Eukaryota; Metazoa; Chordata; Mammalia; Eulipotyphla; Soricidae. The record is from RefSeq and is a predicted model, not a curated record.
AAGACUAUACUUUCAGGGAUCAUUUCUAUAGUUUGACUAGAGAAGUUUCUCUGAUCGUGUAGAGAGCACCUGAAGCCAUGAGCCAGAGCGUCCUCUCCUGAGCAUGAAGCCGGCUCUAGAUGUCGCUUGUGCAACUGCCUUUGACCAUCGAUGAUUCUCCCUUUCCUUUGUAGAGGGUAGAGGGAGAGGAUGCAGUCUGAGUGGU